This 440-nucleotide long non-coding RNA is filed under the name Homo sapiens (human). Its description in RNAcentral is "non-protein coding lnc-CEP97-7:1". The record is from RNAcentral. Lineage: Eukaryota; Metazoa; Chordata; Mammalia; Primates; Hominidae.
CACAGACACAGUAACAAUCUGAUCUCUCUUGCUUUUCCCCACACUGUCCCUCUGGAGAACCCUGACUAAUACUGUGUGUAAGUCAUUUAUGAAAAAUGAUUCAUGGGUAGGGUAGCUUAUUCCUGUAAUCCCAGUGCUUUGGGAGGCUGAGGUGGGAGAACUGCUUGAAGCCAGGGGUUCAAGACCAGCCUGGGCAACAUGGUGAGACCCAUCUCUACAAAAAAUUUUAAAAAUUCGUUGGGCAUGGUGGUACACUCAUGUAGUCCUAGGCAUUUGGGAGGCUGAGGUGGGAGGAUUGCUUGAGCCCAAGAACUGCAGGCUGCACAGGAGCUAUGAUCAUACACUCUAGCCUAGACAACAGAAUGAGACCUUGUCUCUAAAAAUAAAUAAAUAAAGGGCUAGGCAUGGUGGCUCACGCCUGUAAUCCUAGCACUUUGGGA